CAGGGAGACAACAAAAUGUUUAAUAUUAUUAUUUUGUCACCUUAGGUCGAUCGGUAUCUCACGUUUUUAAUUUAUUAAAAAUUUCAUUUCCUAAGUUUUUCUAGGUCACACCCAUUAUUUUUCCUGGGCCAUUAGCUCAGGUGGUUAGAGCGCACCCCUGAUAAGGGUGAGGUCCCUGGUUCAAGUCCAGGAUGGCCCAUAUCUCUAUGUUGGGGGUAUAGCUCAGUUGGUAGAGCGCCCGCUUUGCAAGCAGGAUGUCAGCGGUUCGAGUCCGCUUACCUCCACUGAUUACCACCUCUUACGUAAUCUGUAUGAAGGAAAUUUUGAGUUGUGAUCAAUUUCUGAACGAAUCUAGCUUCCUAAUGAAAUCAUUAAGAUGCUGGACUCAUUGAAUUAAUUUUCAUUGUUUUCAGAGAACCUUGACAACUGCAUAGAUUAUUUUUUAAAGACAAUAAGCAUCUUUAAUGAUGCAGAUUUAUUAUUUGUGCGAAUGCAUUAAUAACAAUUCUAUUAAGCUGAUGCUUCAAUUUUUGAAGUUAUU
RNAcentral lists this transfer RNA (541 nucleotides) under uncultured cyanobacterium. RNAcentral's name for it is "partial 16S-23S ribosomal RNA intergenic spacer". The stretch from base 126 to 199 matches the Rfam family "tRNA". Lineage: Bacteria; Bacillati; Cyanobacteriota. The record is from RNAcentral.